UACGGAGGGUGCAAGCGUUAUCCGGAUUUAUUGGGUUUAAAGGGUACGUAGGCGGUGGAGUAAGUCAGUGGUGAAAGCCAACAGCUCAACCGUUGAACUGCCAUUGAUACUGCUUCACUUGAGUGCAGUUGAGGUGGGUGGAAUUCCAUGUGUAACGGUGAAAUGCUUAGAUAUAUGGAGGAACACCGAUAACGAAGGUAACUCACUAAACUGUAACUGACGCUGAGGUACGAAAGCGUGGGGAGCAAACGGG
RNAcentral lists this ribosomal RNA (253 nucleotides) under uncultured bacterium. Its description in RNAcentral is "partial 16S ribosomal RNA". It matches the Rfam family "Bacterial small subunit ribosomal RNA", at positions 524 to 776 of the family's 1533-position model. The record is from RNAcentral.